This 432-nucleotide long non-coding RNA is filed under the name Homo sapiens (human). RNAcentral's name for it is "non-protein coding lnc-M1AP-3:1". The record is from RNAcentral. Lineage: Eukaryota; Metazoa; Chordata; Mammalia; Primates; Hominidae.
GCCUUCCAGGGAUACUUUGAUUCUUUCACUCUGAAAGAAAGAGCAGAGAGGACCUACCUGUGGACAACCAGACACAAAUUAGGGCCCAAAGCAAAGAAGGGUCCAGGAUGGAGUUCGGAACACAGACAGGGAGAGGUCAUUUGAGGUCUAGGAGAAGGACACCCUAAAGCUAUCCCUUGAAAACCAUGAGUCUAUGAGCAGAGGAUCCCAGGGGCUGCCACUUGGUACUGCAGAACCACAGGAGCUGGGAGCUAAGUGGCCUCCUACAGGAGUACUGACCAGUGGAUGGUGUUGGCCUCUCAGCAGGACCUGCGUUCUUUCCAUUACCCAGUGGGUCAGCUCGGCAAUGGCCAUAUUCAUUCACUCAAUAAAUAUUGAGCAUCUACUAUGUGUCAGGCACUGUUCACUGUUCUAAGCACUGGGGAUACAACA